UUGUAGAAUUAUUCAUUUUAUAUAAAAUGUGUCUGUAUCGCUUCUCGGCCUUUUGGCUAAGAUCAAGUAUAAAAUGUGUCUGUGAGGGUAUGACAUAUAGAAUUACGACUGACU
RNAcentral lists this microRNA precursor (114 nucleotides) under Mus musculus (house mouse). RNAcentral describes it as "predicted gene, 56452 (ENSMUSG00002075162.1)". Lineage: Eukaryota; Metazoa; Chordata; Mammalia; Rodentia; Muridae. The record is from RNAcentral.